Molecule: ribosomal RNA, 407 nt
Filed under: uncultured prokaryote
Also listed under: 1 other name
Description: bacterial SSU rRNA
Rfam family: Bacterial small subunit ribosomal RNA
Source: RNAcentral
UGGGGAAUAUUGCGCAAUGGGGGAAACCCUGACGCAGCAACGCCGCGUGAAGGAUGAAGGUUUUCGGAUUGUAAACUUCUUUGAUGAGGGACGAAGAAAAUGACGGUACCUCAAAAACAAGCCACGGCUAACUACGUGCCAGCAGCCGCGGUAAUACGUAGGUGGCGAGCGUUGUCCGGAAUUACUGGGUGUAAAGGGCGUGUAGGCGGGGAGACAAGUCAGAUGUGAAAUACCGAAGCUUAACUUCGGGGCUGCAUCUGAAACUGUUUUUCUUGAGUGUCGGAGAGGAAAGCGGAAUUCCCAGUGUAGCGGUGAAAUGCGUAGAUAUUGGGAGGAACACCAGUGGCGAAGGCGGUCGCCUGGCCCAAUACUGACGCUGAGGCUCGAAAGCUAGGGGAGCAAACAGG